Molecule: long non-coding RNA, 1278 nt
Organism: Ceratitis capitata (Mediterranean fruit fly)
Lineage: Eukaryota; Metazoa; Arthropoda; Insecta; Diptera; Tephritidae
Exons: 2
Source: RefSeq, a predicted model, not a curated record
CUUCACAAGCUGGCAGCACAGCAGGACCGUCCGAUUGUGUGUGUGCGUUUUGUGUUCCAAAAGAAAUUUUGUGUGUGAAAAUUUGGCGACGAAAAAUUGAGAUUUUGAUUACAAUUUCCUACAGAAAAACUGUAAAAUGUGUAGAAAAUUUUAGCUUAAUGAAGUGAUUUUCCAAUCAAAAGGGGAAGAGGAGUCUAAUGAGAAGUAAAUGUUAAUGUGAAGGAAAGCAAAAGUGUUGGAAGAAUCUAAAAAGCAAAAAAAAACGAGACUUGCUACUGAAGCGAAGACAACAAAAGGCGAGAAACGAAUAGUGGCGACAACAAGAACAAACAAGACUUAAACAACAACAAAGUUGAGGCGAAUUAAAUUGUAGAAUGAUAAUCGAAAGCGGCAAGUUAGAAAAAGUGCAAAAGAAAACACACGAAUAAGAAGUCGAAAGAAAACGAGAAGGACUAGCAGCUGGUCGCUCAAUCUGUAAUGCUUCUGCUAACGCCGAUGCGCUAACGCAACUGCAUAAUUCUACUCGUAAUGUGUGUGUACUCUGCCCUGCGACAUCAGAGGCGCGAGCAGCGGCGUUGACUUCGGCGUCGUGGAAGUUGGUGUUGUCGGCAUGUGUUGUGCUAUCGCACUUAUUCGCAGCACGCAAUCUCGUUUGGUCGCUUCUUGAUUUGUUUUGCGGUAGUAUUCGUUCGUGUUAUUGUCGUCGCUGCAUGGAACCUUGGUUUGGUAGGGGGGCUAUUGAAACAAACGAAAAAAAAAUAAAUAAAUAAAAAGCAAAUCAAAUAUCCCCAACAUUCGUGAAAGGCCCCGCAGACAUCGAGGACGUUUUUGUAUGCAUCAACAACGGACUCGUUUAGGUAGCUGUUCGCAUCAGAAUUGAAACAAAAGAAUUAUAAAAGUGCACGAACACUAAAUGGACAAAGAUUAUAAAAGCAUAAUAUUUAGUUGUCUUGAUCGUCGUCAAUGCCAUCGAAAUCGUACGGGUAUUUCAGUCGGCAAUUAGUUAAAUAAAAAAAACGGGUGAACACAAAAAGUGACAAAUGUAAAAUAAAUGUACAUAUACAUAGAUCUAUAGAUAUAAUAUCCAUAUGUAUAUAGAUAUAUAACUAUCUUUAAGUAAAGUUAAUUAAAUUCAUUUGCUAGUGGUUUAAUGUAAAGACACAUACGCACACACACAAACUCAUCCAUCUAUUCUCAUCAACAAAUAUUAUUCACACAUACUAUACCUACGAAGUGGUUAAAUCAUCCGUCGCGUCGCGUGAAAAAUAAUAUUUUAAA